Long non-coding RNA from Mustela lutreola (European mink), 789 nucleotides. RefSeq lists it as uncharacterized. Lineage: Eukaryota; Metazoa; Chordata; Mammalia; Carnivora; Mustelidae. The record is from RefSeq and is a predicted model, not a curated record. The transcript is spliced from 3 exons.
AUGGUACUAAGAAAAUAGUAAAAGCUUCUUCUCAAUGUGUAUUCCAGGUAUGGAAGAAUCAAAGCCAACAAUUAUACUGAGGUUCACUGACCUCAUGAAAAUACAUGGAAACAUGAGAACGAAGCUAUAUUGCAAAAAUGUCCAAAGUAACCCUAAGAGUUGGCUCAUGGCACUGUUACAUGGUUUGGAGUUCUCCAGGACUGGGACUGAGGCCAUGGCUUACGGGAAAAUGCUCAUUCCAGAUUGCAAGAGGAGCUAAUCCAAUACUUACAGAAAUCAACAAAUGCUUGCUGAAUGAAUGACCAGAGGGAAAAAUGACAGUACUAAUUAAAAACUGUGGUGACAAUCAUAUGCUGAAUACCUAUUCAAUACCAGGCACCAUGUAGGACACUUGCCAAAUAUUACUGAUCUGCAGUUCACACAAACCUUGCAAAGCAAGUAUUUCUCUGUUUUAUAAGAGAAAUUUCAAGUACAGAGAGGUUAAGCCAUGUUUCCAAAGUCACACAGCACAUAAGGGGAGGAGGCAGGAUUUGAAUCACUGAACCCUAGAUGCACCUUAUUCCAAAUGCCACAGACUUCUUAAUAUAGGCCCCCAAAAGCAUCAAGACAAACACAUAGGGCAGACUGAACAGAACAAGAUAAACAACAAAACCAAACAAGCCCCGAAGUCCCAUUUUUCAGCUCUGUAGUCAAAGUUCCAUAUAAUGGUUUAGACAUAGGAGAAGGAGGUGGCACUUCAUAGAGUAUCAAAUACCACGUUUAUAUACGGGUAGGAAAAUAUUUUCAUUU